This 354-nucleotide unclassified non-coding RNA is filed under the name soil metagenome. Its description in RNAcentral is "partial contains 5.8S ribosomal RNA, internal transcribed spacer 2, and large subunit ribosomal RNA". The stretch from base 1 to 120 matches the Rfam family "5.8S ribosomal RNA", at positions 35 to 154 of the family's 154-position model. The record is from RNAcentral.
GAUGAAGAACGCAGCGAAACGCGAUAUGUAUUGUGAAUUGCAGAAUUCAGUGAAUCAUCGAAUCUUUGAACGCACAUGGCGCCUUCCAGUAUCCUGGGAGGCAUGCCUGUCCGAGCGUCGUUUCAACCCUCGAGCCCCCGUGGCCCGGCGUUGGGGAUCUGCCCAGGCAGUCCCCGAAAACCAGUGGCGGACCCGUUACAGGCCCUUCCCUUGCGUAGUAGCAUUCGCCUCGCAUCGGGAGCCGGCGGGCUUCCAGCCUCUAAACCCCCAUCAAGUCCGCCCCGGCGGCACCAAGGUUGACCUCGGAUCAGGUAGGAAUACCCGCUGAACUUAAGCAUAUCAAUAAGCGGAGGA